AUUCAAAUAGCUUAUAUUUAGAGCGUGACACUGAAGAUGUUAAAGAAAUUAUUUAAUUUUUGAAUA
Molecule: transfer RNA, 66 nt
Filed under: Neopanorpa chelata
Lineage: Eukaryota; Metazoa; Arthropoda; Insecta; Mecoptera; Panorpidae
Description: tRNA-Phe
Rfam family: tRNA
About the family: Transfer RNA (tRNA) molecules are approximately 80 nucleotides in length. Their secondary structure includes four short double-helical elements and three loops (D, anti-codon, and T loops). Further hydrogen bonds mediate the characteristic L-shaped molecular structure. tRNAs have two regions of fundamental functional importance: the anti-codon, which is responsible for specific mRNA codon recognition, and the 3' end, to which the tRNAs corresponding amino acid is attached (by aminoacyl-tRNA synthetases). tRNAs cope with the degeneracy of the genetic code in two manners: having more than one tRNA (with a specific anti-codon) for a particular amino acid; and 'wobble' base-pairing, i.e. permitting non-standard base-pairing at the 3rd anti-codon position.
Source: RNAcentral